UGGGGAAUAUUGGACAAUGGGGGCAACCCUGAUCCAGCCAUGCCGCGUGAGUGAUGAAGGCCUUCGGGUUGUAAAGCUCUUUUGGCGGGGACGAUGAUGACGGUACCCGCAGAAUAAGCCCCGGCUAACUUCGUGCCAGCAGCCGCGGUAAGACGAAGGGGGCUAGCGUUGUUCGGAAUUACUGGGCGUAAAGCGAGUGUAGGCGGUUGCCGUAGUCAGGUGUGAAAGCCUUGAGCUCAACUCAAGAAAUGCACUUGAUACUGGGUGACUAGAGGACCGGAGAGGAUAGUGGAAUUCCCAGUGUAGUGGUGAAAUACGUAGAGAUUGGGAAGAACACCAGUGGCGAAGGCGGCUAUCUGGACGGUUACUGACGCUAAGACUCGAAAGCGUGGGGAGCAAACAGGAUUAGAUACCCCUGGUAGUCCACGCCGUAAACGAUGGGUGCUAGACGUUGGCGAGCUUGCUCGUCAGUGUCGCAGCUAACGCGUUAAGCACCCCGCCUGGGGGAGUACGGCCGCAA
RNAcentral lists this ribosomal RNA (520 nucleotides) under uncultured bacterium. RNAcentral describes it as "partial 16S ribosomal RNA". It matches the Rfam family "Bacterial small subunit ribosomal RNA", at positions 355 to 891 of the family's 1533-position model. The record is from RNAcentral.